This 85-nucleotide transfer RNA is filed under the name Frankineae bacterium MT45. It matches the Rfam family "tRNA". Rfam says of the family: Transfer RNA (tRNA) molecules are approximately 80 nucleotides in length. Their secondary structure includes four short double-helical elements and three loops (D, anti-codon, and T loops). Further hydrogen bonds mediate the characteristic L-shaped molecular structure. tRNAs have two regions of fundamental functional importance: the anti-codon, which is responsible for specific mRNA codon recognition, and the 3' end, to which the tRNAs corresponding amino acid is attached (by aminoacyl-tRNA synthetases). tRNAs cope with the degeneracy of the genetic code in two manners: having more than one tRNA (with a specific anti-codon) for a particular amino acid; and 'wobble' base-pairing, i.e. permitting non-standard base-pairing at the 3rd anti-codon position. Lineage: Bacteria; Bacillati; Actinomycetota; Actinomycetes; Frankiales. RNAcentral also lists the same sequence under 1 other name. The record is from Rfam by way of RNAcentral.
GGAGGAUUCGCCUAGUGGCCUAUGGCGCUCGCUUGGAAUGCGAGUUGGGAGCAAUCCCUCGGGGGUUCAAAUCCCCCAUCCUCCG